Molecule: ribosomal RNA, 120 nt
Filed under: Lepisosteus oculatus (spotted gar)
Lineage: Eukaryota; Metazoa; Chordata; Actinopteri; Semionotiformes; Lepisosteidae
Source: RNAcentral
GCCAGCAGCUAUAUCACCCUGCACCUCACCACUGGCAAUUCCACUGAAGCUAAGCAGGUGUGAGGCUAGUCAGUACCUGGAUGGGAGACCUCCUGGGAAAAACUAAGGUUGCUGCUGGAA